UCGGAAUAGUUUAGUAGGGUAGAACAGCGGGAUCAUAAUUCGCACACGGGGCCCUCUUCCGAUA
Molecule: transfer RNA, 64 nt
Filed under: Apopellia endiviifolia
Lineage: Eukaryota; Viridiplantae; Streptophyta; Jungermanniopsida; Pelliales; Pelliaceae
Description: tRNA-Met
Source: RNAcentral